GAACGCUGGCGGCAGGCUUAACACAUGCAAGUCGAACGCCCCGCAAGGGGAGUGGCAGACGGGUGAGUAACGCGUGGGAAUCUACCCAUCCCCACGGAAUAACGCAUGGAAACGUGUGCUAAUACCGUAUACGCCCUACGGGGGAAAGAUUUAUCGGGGAUGGAUGAGCCCGCGUUGGAUUAGCUAGUUGGUGGGGUAAAGGCCUACCAAGGCGACGAUCCAUAGCUGGUCUGAGAGGAUGAUCAGCCACAUUGGGACUGAGACACGGCCCAAACUCCUACGGGAGGCAGCAGUGGGGAAUAUUGGACAAUGGGCGCAAGCCUGAUCCAGCCAUGCCGCGUGAGUGAUGAAGGCCUUAGGGUUGUAAAGCUCUUUCACCGGAGAAGAUAAUGACGGUAUCCGGAGAAGAAGCCCCGGCUAACUUCGUGCCAGCAGCCGCGGUAAUACGAAGGGGGCUAGCGUUGUUCGGAAUUACUGGGCGUAAAGCGCACGUAGGCGGAUCGA
Molecule: ribosomal RNA, 504 nt
Filed under: uncultured bacterium
Lineage: Bacteria
Description: bacterial SSU rRNA
Rfam family: Bacterial small subunit ribosomal RNA
Source: RNAcentral